RNAcentral lists this transfer RNA (93 nucleotides) under Hydrogenophilaceae bacterium. Its description in RNAcentral is "tRNA-Ser". It matches the Rfam family "tRNA". Rfam says of the family: Transfer RNA (tRNA) molecules are approximately 80 nucleotides in length. Their secondary structure includes four short double-helical elements and three loops (D, anti-codon, and T loops). Further hydrogen bonds mediate the characteristic L-shaped molecular structure. tRNAs have two regions of fundamental functional importance: the anti-codon, which is responsible for specific mRNA codon recognition, and the 3' end, to which the tRNAs corresponding amino acid is attached (by aminoacyl-tRNA synthetases). tRNAs cope with the degeneracy of the genetic code in two manners: having more than one tRNA (with a specific anti-codon) for a particular amino acid; and 'wobble' base-pairing, i.e. permitting non-standard base-pairing at the 3rd anti-codon position. Lineage: Bacteria; Pseudomonadati; Pseudomonadota; Hydrogenophilia; Hydrogenophilales; Hydrogenophilaceae. The record is from RNAcentral.
GGAGACGUGGCCGAGAGGUUGAAGGUACUCCCCUGCUAAGGGAGCAUACGGACAAAACCCGUAUCGAGGGUUCGAAUCCCUCCGUCUCCGCCA